CAUCGAGGGCAGCGAUGGCGUCAUCCAGUUCCUCCUGCGACGCCAUUGUCACGAAACCGAAGCCUCGUGAGCGCCCAGUGUCUCUGUCGUAGACGACCCUGGCAUCGACCACUUUGCCAUGCUCGCUGAACAGCUCCACCAACCUAGAGUCGUCCACUUGCCAUGGCAGGUUGCCCACAUAGAUCCUGAAUGAAGACCCGGAAUCACGGGGAGGCCUUUCCACCCGGGCGCCUCUAG
Molecule: long non-coding RNA, 237 nt
Filed under: Hordeum vulgare
Lineage: Eukaryota; Viridiplantae; Streptophyta; Magnoliopsida; Poales; Poaceae
Description: long non-coding RNA (HVUL_LNC013802)
Source: RNAcentral